GAUGAACGCUGGCGGCGUGCCUAAUACAUGCAAGUCGAGCGAACAGACGAGGAGCUUGCUCCUCUGACGUUAGCGGCGGACGGGUGAGUAACACGUGGAUAACCUACCUAUAAGACUGGGAUAACUUCGGGAAACCGGAGCUAAUACCGGAUAACAUGUUGAACCGCAUGGUUCAACAGUGAAAGACGGUCUUGCUGUCACUUAUCGAUGGAUCCGCGCCGCAUUUGCUAGUUGGUAAGGUAACGGCUUACCAAGGCAACGAUGCGUAGCCGACCUGAGAGGGUGAUCGGCCACACUGGAACUGAGACACGGUCCAGACUCCUACGGGAGGCAGCAGUAGGGAAUCUUCCGCAAUGGGCGAAAGCCUGACGGAGCAACGCCGCGUGAGUGAAGAAGGUCUUCGGAUCGUAAAACUCUGUUAUUAGGGAAGAACAAAUGUGUAAGUAACUAUGCACGUCUUGACGGUACCUAAUCAGAAAGCCACGGCUAACUACGUG
Molecule: ribosomal RNA, 497 nt
Filed under: uncultured bacterium
Lineage: Bacteria
Description: partial 16S ribosomal RNA
Rfam family: Bacterial small subunit ribosomal RNA
Source: RNAcentral